RNAcentral lists this ribosomal RNA (305 nucleotides) under uncultured bacterium. RNAcentral's name for it is "partial 16S ribosomal RNA". It matches the Rfam family "Bacterial small subunit ribosomal RNA", at positions 505 to 807 of the family's 1533-position model. The record is from RNAcentral.
ACAGCAGUCGCCACGGUAAUACGUAGGGUGCGAGCGUUAAUCGGAAUUACUGGGCGUAAAGCGUGCGCAGGCGGUUCGUUAAGACAGAUGUGAAAUCCCCGGGCUUAACCUGGGAACUGCAUUUGUGACUGGCGAGCUAGAGUAUGGCAGAGGGGGGUAGAAUUCCACGUGUAGCGGUGAAAUGCGUAGAGAUGUGGAGGAAUACCGAUGGCGAAGGCAGCCCCCUGGGCCAAUACUGACGCUCAUGCACGAAAGCGUGGGGAGCAAACAGGAUUAGAUACCCCAGUAGUCCCUGUCUCUUAUAC